UCCUUCUGGGUCCCUCUUUCUCCUUUUUUUUUUUGUGUAAAGGGAGCGCAGGCGGUGCGGCAAGUCUGAUGUGAAAGCCCGGGGCUCAACCCCGGGACUGCAUUGGAAACUGUCGUACUUGAGUAUCGGAGAGGUAAGUGGAAUUCCUAGUGUAGCGGUGAAAUGCGUAGAUAUUAGGAGGAACACCAGUGGCGAAGGCGGCUUACUGGACGAUAACUGACGCUGAGGCUCGAAAGCGUGGGGAGCAAACAGG
Molecule: ribosomal RNA, 253 nt
Filed under: Roseburia faecis M72/1
Lineage: Bacteria; Bacillati; Bacillota; Clostridia; Lachnospirales; Lachnospiraceae
Description: partial 16S ribosomal RNA
Rfam family: Bacterial small subunit ribosomal RNA (bases 27-253)
Source: RNAcentral